This 101-nucleotide small nuclear RNA is filed under the name Urocitellus parryii (Arctic ground squirrel). Its description in RNAcentral is "Spermophilus parryii (Arctic ground squirrel) U2 spliceosomal RNA". It matches the Rfam family "U2 spliceosomal RNA". Rfam says of the family: U2 is a small nuclear RNA (snRNA) component of the spliceosome (involved in pre-mRNA splicing). Complementary binding between U2 snRNA (in an area lying towards the 5' end but 3' to hairpin I) and the branchpoint sequence (BPS) of the intron results the bulging out of an unpaired adenosine, on the BPS, which initiates a nucleophilic attack at the intronic 5' splice site, thus starting the first of two transesterification reactions that mediate splicing. The record is from Rfam by way of RNAcentral. RNAcentral also lists the same sequence under 1 other name. Lineage: Eukaryota; Metazoa; Chordata; Mammalia; Rodentia; Sciuridae.
AUUGCUUCUCAGUCCUUUGGCUAAGAUCAAAUAUAGUAUCUGUUCUUUACAGUUUAAUAUCAGGGUCACAUCUUGAACCCUGGUUUCAUUUUCCAGCUUCA